UCUGCCUGCGAGUCCCUGAACGAGACUUCAACUUAAACUCACCACUAAUGGCAAGGUUUUCCUUCUCAGUGUCACGCUGUCCAGGGAAUACCAAAGAAUAAUUCUACAGAGGAAAAGCCCCCCAGCCCCGAAAUCCCUUUAACCUUCUACACGUCUAUUUUGGCAUUCUUUAUUUCAAGUCAGUACUCUGAGGUGUCGUGGGUUCCAGCUGCUACUUUCUGGUGCCCGGAUAAAGUCCCAGCGCUGUCUUCAGAGGACAAAUAGCCACAGCUGUUUCUGCGGCUGCCGAGAGUGUGGGAGGAGAAGCAUGGGCUCACUGUGGCCCUUUGGGAUAAACAGAAAGGUGAGGAGACCCAGAAUUCAGGACACACUGGGGCCAUCUCCCUCACACUGCCUGUCCCUGGGGCAGAUUUGGAAGCUACACAGAACCUGGUGCUAGUGGAAAAAUCUGGUGGCACAGGGCUUCAUGUUUUGCAACUUUUUCCUGUAAGCUACAUUGUUGGAAUCAUUUCACAAGCAAACCGUGCCUCCUCCCCAGCUGGCCUACAGACUUCCAGGUCUCCACCCUGGAGUGUUGUAAAUGCCAGUGCAUCAUCAGGCUGAUUCACCAUUUGCGGGCCGGGCAGCAGCGAGGGUACGUGCUACAGAAACCUAAGCAGUUGAAUACAGCACCCCAGCCCAUCGAAAAUACUGAAGGACUGAGAAUGAGCUGUAUCUUGGCGCGUCUCUGGGCUUACAGGAGGAGGCUGACUGAGAACAGGAUGAAACAGAAAAACAAUAUGCCUUGAACUAAUGGGCAGCUCGUACACGAGGAAAGGACUCAGGAGGACAGGGAUGGGAAAAAGGGACGGGGGCAUGCUCAAUUGAUGUUUGCACAAAACUAUCUGUAAAGCCUGAUGAGGUUUAUCAACUCAACCAAAUAUUAUGUGAAUAAAUACAGAAGCCAUGGGAUUCUCUUAUGGUUCUACCUAACAAGGAACAAUUUGAUUUUUAAAUAUGUGUGUGUGUGCACAUGUGUGGAGGCCAGGCAGGUGUCUUCCUCUACCAAUCUCCACCAUAUAAAUACGUUGUUUGUUUCUUUGAGAAAGGCGGGGUCUCAUUGUGUAGCCCUGGCUGUUCAGGAACUCACUAUGUAGACCAGGCUGGCCUUGAACUCACACAGCUCUGUCUGCCUCUGCCUCCCGGGUGCAUGCCUGACUCUAUUAUGUCUUUAGACUGGGUCUCCCCCUGAACUCACUGAUUGGCUACUCUGGAUGGCCAGCACACUUCAGAGAUCCACCUGCCUCUGCUCCACCAGCCCUCGAGUUACAGGGAUCUGCAACCACACCGGCUUUUAUGUGGAUGCCGGGAUCUGAACUCAGGUCCUCAUGUCUGUGCAGCAAGGCCCUUUACACAGGGAGACACACCUUUCUCCAGCCCCAGAAAGUGUAUAUAUUCAAAACACAAACGAUCACUUGGAGAGAAAAAAAAACCUCCUUCACUUACAUGAAGUAACAGAAAAGGAUCUCAAGUGAACACAGUAGCUGUGU
Peromyscus maniculatus bairdii (prairie deer mouse) is the source of this 1529-nucleotide non-coding RNA. Lineage: Eukaryota; Metazoa; Chordata; Mammalia; Rodentia; Cricetidae. The record is from RefSeq and is a predicted model, not a curated record.